AGUUUGAUCCUGGCUCAGGACGAACGCUGGCGGCGUGCUUAACACAUGCAAGUCGAGCGGAAAGGCCACUUCGGUGGUACUCGAGCGGCGAACGGGUGAGUAACACGUGAGUAAUCUGCCCUUGGCUUUGGGAUAGCCACCGGAAACGGUGAUUAAUACCGGAUACGACCACUUCUCGCAUGGGAUGGUGGUGGAAAGUUUUUCGGCCAGGGAUGUGCUCGCGGCCUAUCAGCUUGAUGGUGAGGUAAUGGCUCACCAUGGCUUCGACGGGUAGCCGGCCUGAGAGGGUGACCGGUCACACUGGGACUGAGACACGGCCCAGACUCCUACGGGAGGCAGCAGUGGGGAAUAUUGGACAAUGGGCGGAAGCCUGAUCCAGCAACGCCGCGUGAGGGAUGACGGCCUUCGGGUUGUAAACCUCUUUCAGCAGGGACGAAGCGCAAGUGACGGUACCUGCAGAAGAAGCACCGGCCAACUACGUGCCAGCAGCCGCGGUAAUACGUAGGGUGCGAGCGUUGUCCGGAAUUAUUGGGCGUAAAGGGCUCGUAGGCGGUUUGUCGCGUCGGGAGUGAAAACCAGGUGCUUAACACCUGGCUUGCUUUCGAUACGGGCAGACUAGAGGUAUUCAGGGGAGAACGGAAUUCCUGGUGUAGCGGUGAAAUGCGCAGAUAUCAGGAGGAACACCGGUGGCGAAGGCGGUUCUCUGGGAAUAUCCUGACGCUGAGGAGCGAAA
RNAcentral lists this ribosomal RNA (733 nucleotides) under Nocardioides sp. GWS-BW-H311M. RNAcentral describes it as "bacterial SSU rRNA". It matches the Rfam family "Bacterial small subunit ribosomal RNA", at positions 10 to 758 of the family's 1533-position model. Lineage: Bacteria; Bacillati; Actinomycetota; Actinomycetes; Propionibacteriales; Nocardioidaceae. The record is from RNAcentral.